This is a long non-coding RNA of Felis catus (domestic cat), 1502 nucleotides long. RefSeq lists it as uncharacterized. The transcript has 3 exons. The record is from RefSeq and is a predicted model, not a curated record. NCBI's taxonomy places the organism in Eukaryota, Metazoa, Chordata, Mammalia, Carnivora, Felidae.
AAUAAAAUGGGGGGGGGGGGGGAGGGAGUGGAUAGAAGAGGAGAGGGAAGAGUCUCGCAGCGGAGAAAAGACGUAAGGGUGAAGAGGGACUUUCAAAAUGCCCCAGGACCUAGGUGCCUCGGAAGCGGACUGCCUGGGACAGCCCCCUCCCCACACAAACUGAAACGCGGGAGACUAGAAAACAGCAAGCGUAUGGGCCUCCAGCCACAUCUCUUCCUUUCUCCCUGGAGAGGACACUCAGAAUUUCCAGCACAGGAGAGUGAACGGGCUGGGGCUCAAAAAUCAUCCCUUUCUUAGAGGCCCGUUAUUUGAUGUCUGCAUGGGACAGACUUCAUAUUCAAGCUUUGAAAAGGAUAUGCAAAAGAGCUGGGCCAACCUAAGAUGAAACUUCAGAAUUGAAAAUUGGUAAGAUUUAAGGAAGUACGGAAAAAUUCACAUCCCCCUUUAGCCUUAUCUCCACUAUUUACCCCAUUUUACAGUUAUUUCUUUGAAGUAAAACAGUGUUUAAGGGAAAAAUAAUACAUUAUUCCCACAUUCAUGUUACUGAGUUAUUGGAAACGUUACCAGACUUGACAGCAAAGAAAAAAUAAAAGGCAAGAGAAAUUCGCAUUCAAAACUUCCUACAGCCUAAUUUUACCCUGAAAUAGUAUCAGCCUCACUGUAGGUUGAAGUAACUUCUUGUGCAUAGGUUUGGGAUUUGAAAAUAACAUUGUGCUGAAAUUCAGUUUGGAGCGACAAUCCCCAAACCUAGAGUUCCUCAAGCAUUUUUGGUACAGGACUCAUUCUUCAGUUAGGAAUUACUAGUAAGAGAAUGGAUUAUAAUAAAGUUAUUCUGAUUAUAAAAUUUAAAGAAUCUGCCUGCAUUCAAACAUACGAAUAAUUUUUGAACGUUUCUCUAACAGAGACUAUAUAUAAAUUGGAAAAAAGUAUCAAAAAAUAAAUUGGAAAAAAGUAUCAAAUGACAUGGACUGGUAAUAGAGAUUCCUGAAAUCAUUCCAGCCAUAUUAGGAGUUAAUAGGCUUUUGAGGAAGGAAAUAAUUGUUAUUUAGCACUUACAAUUAAUCAAUCUCUAUAGAUGAUGAAUUGAAUCCCUAUAAACCCAAUAAGGUUCUGUAGUUCACAGAAUUGGAAAGUAUCACUUAAUAAAUUGUGUGUUAUGAACUAGCUAUCUUCUGUAUUCAUCCUUUUCCUUCUUAGUAACUUCUAUUCCCGUCAGUCUUUAGACCUCAACAAAAUUGCAGUGGCUCUGAGAAGUGAUCUUAAGUUUUGAGUUGUCUCAUUGAGGACAUUUUAAGAGAAACUCACUCCUCCCCACCCGGGUUUUAAACUCCAUGAAGGAUUUUUUUUUUCUCAUUUCCAGAUCCUGAACACAUGGACCAGUGUUAACACAUAGCACUCACUCUGUACGUACUACAGCUAAUCAUACCAAUGUCAACUGUUCCUAUUUUAUUGUAAUAAAUAAUACACUGAUUAAUACAGCUAAACUGCUUUCUAUAAUCUUA